Molecule: ribosomal RNA, 497 nt
Filed under: uncultured bacterium
Lineage: Bacteria
Description: partial 16S ribosomal RNA
Rfam family: Bacterial small subunit ribosomal RNA
Source: RNAcentral
GACGAACGCUGGCGGCGUGCCUAAUACAUGCAAGUUGAGCGCUGAAGGUUGGUACUUGUACCGACUGGAUGAGCAGCGAACGGGUGAGUAACGCGUGGGGAAUCUGCCUUUUAGCGGGGGACAACAUUUGGAAACGAAUGCUAAUACCGCAUAAAAACUUUAAACACAAGUUUUAAGUUUGAAAGAUGCAAUUGCAUCACUCAAAGAUGAUCCCGAGUUUUAUUAGCUAGGUGGUGAGGUAAAGGCUCACCAAGGCGAUGAUACAUAGCCGACCUGAGAGGGUGGAUCGCCAACACGGGAACGGGGAAACGGUCCAGACUCCUACGGGGGGCACAGGAGGGAAAUAUUGGACAAGGGGGAAAGGCUGGACGCGGCAAGACGGCGGAGGGAAGAAGGGCUUCCGAUUGUAAAACCCUGUUGGUAGAGAAGAAAGUGGGGGAGAGUAGAACGCUGCUGAAGUGACGGUACCUAAACAGAAAGCACCGGCUAACUACGUG